This 174-nucleotide ribosomal RNA is filed under the name Poecilimon mariannae. Its description in RNAcentral is "5.8S ribosomal RNA". The stretch from base 10 to 164 matches the Rfam family "5.8S ribosomal RNA". Rfam says of the family: 5.8S ribosomal RNA (5.8S rRNA) is a component of the large subunit of the eukaryotic ribosome. Lineage: Eukaryota; Metazoa; Arthropoda; Insecta; Orthoptera; Tettigoniidae. The record is from RNAcentral.
CAAAAGUACAACCCUGAACGGUGGAUCACUCGGCUCGUGGGUCGAUGAAGAACGCAGCAAAUUGCGCGUCCACAUGUGAACUGCAGGACACAUGAACAUCGACAUUUCGAACGCACAUUGCGGUCCAUGGAUUCCGUUCCCGGACCACGCCUGGCUGAGGGUCGGUAGCUAAAA